CUGAUACCAGUAACUUGGAAGAAUGUAAUGUAUUAUAAAUUAUACAGUAACGAUUAAUUCGUAUAAAAUUCUAAAUAGGAUAAUGAUAAUGACAAUUUCCUAUUUAUAAGUCUUGACCAAAUUACGUGCCAGCAGUCGCGGUAAUACGUAGAAGACUAGUGUUAGUCAUCUUUAUUAGGUUUAAAGGGUACCUAGACGGUAAAUAACACUUUAAUAGAGUACUUAUUUGCUAGAGUUUUAUAAGAGAAGGAAGAACUUCUGGAGUAGUGAUAAAAUACUUUGAUACCAGAGGGACUGGUAACGGCGAAGGCAUCUUUUUAUGUUAAAACUGACGUUGAGGCGACGAAGGCUUGGGUAGCAUAUAAGGAUUAGAUACCCUAGUAGUCCAAGCAGAAAAUGAUGAAUGUCAUAGGCUAGAUAACGAAUUUAGCCUAUAAAUGAAAGUGUAAGCAUUCCACCUCAAGAGUACUAUGGCAACAUAUAAACUGAAAUCAUUAGACCGUUUCUGAAACCAGUAGUGAAGUAUGAGU
RNAcentral lists this ribosomal RNA (530 nucleotides) under Penicillium brocae. RNAcentral's name for it is "SSU rRNA". It matches the Rfam family "Bacterial small subunit ribosomal RNA", at positions 383 to 944 of the family's 1533-position model. Lineage: Eukaryota; Fungi; Ascomycota; Eurotiomycetes; Eurotiales; Aspergillaceae. The record is from RNAcentral.